Molecule: long non-coding RNA, 846 nt
Filed under: Zostera marina
Lineage: Eukaryota; Viridiplantae; Streptophyta; Magnoliopsida; Alismatales; Zosteraceae
Description: long non-coding RNA (ZMAR_LNC002982)
Source: RNAcentral
UCCCAACAUAUCCGUUCAUCAUCGCAGCCAAUCGCCGUCGCCUCCUGUCCGUCGUGUUCACCGACCAUCUUCUCCGUUCGUCGCCGGCCAGACUAUAUUCCGACCAGAAACUCUGUUUUUGUUCAUCGCAGUCCAGAAAAUAAACUAUAUUGAAUAGACCGUCCAGAUCAGUUCAUCUCUGUUUGGGUUAUUCUGGCCAGAAAUUAGCCCUUCAUCAUCACCGUCUAUGAUACCGGAUUUGAUCCUGUAUCAAUCUGUUAGUACGAGGAACCUUAGAGUUCCCCCCAAUUCUUGUGUACAGAGCUCUCGUCCAAUUCCAGCCACCACUGAUUCUAAUCCUCCAGGAAAGCUACCCGCGCACAGCUUUAAUACAUAUAUGGGUGCGUGUUUGAAUUUAAUUAAAUUAAUAAUCACAAUGCGAAUCAAUUUAUCUAACAUCGUAACCUGAUUGAUCUUCUCCCAAAUGAUUAUAAUUAAGAUCAGGAUCAUUCUUGUCACUCUUCUCCACCUACUGCGUAAUCAUGUUGAACGAUGAUGAAGGUUUAUAAGAAUGUUGACCACAACCGAGUUGCUGCUGCAUAUUCAUCGAAUGCUUAUGAUGACCCAUCUCAUUCAAAUUCAUUACAGCCGUUUCGGCUUGGCUACUACCAUCCAAUUGGUAAUCUUGGGUGUUAAUCCCGAAAAAAUCAGAAAAAUUCACUGGAUUUAUGUUGUACCUAGACGUAUCCCUGAAUAAUCAAUCAAUCAAUCAUAGAGUUAUCAAAAUACCCAAUUGAAAUCGAACUAUAUUAUGUAUGUUAAUUACUUGUGAUCGAGAGGAGUGUUAUUUUGCAUAGGACGAGGAGC